This 123-nucleotide ribosomal RNA is filed under the name Jaculus jaculus (lesser Egyptian jerboa). Lineage: Eukaryota; Metazoa; Chordata; Mammalia; Rodentia; Dipodidae. The record is from RNAcentral.
GUCUAUGGCCAUACCACCCUGAAUGCACCCAAUCAUGUCUGAUCUUGGAAGCUUAGCAGGGUCGGGCCUGGUUAGUGUUUGAAUGGCAGAAAGAGAGGAGAAAUAAUUCAAGCACCCUUCACU